RNAcentral lists this ribosomal RNA (34 nucleotides) under Tilia mandshurica. RNAcentral describes it as "partial 5.8S ribosomal RNA". Lineage: Eukaryota; Viridiplantae; Streptophyta; Magnoliopsida; Malvales; Malvaceae. The record is from RNAcentral.
CGACUCUCGGCAACGGAUAUCUCGGCUCUCGCAU